RNAcentral lists this ribosomal RNA (253 nucleotides) under uncultured bacterium. RNAcentral describes it as "partial 16S ribosomal RNA". It matches the Rfam family "Bacterial small subunit ribosomal RNA", at positions 524 to 776 of the family's 1533-position model. The record is from RNAcentral.
UACGUAGGGGGCAAGCGUUGUCCGGAAUCAUUGGGCGUAAAGCGCGUGUAGGCGGCCCGAUAAGUCCGUUGUGAAAGUCAAAGGCUCAACCUUUGAACGCCGAUGGAUACUGCCGGGCUAGAGUCCGGAAGAGGCGAGUGGAAUUCCUGGUGUAGCGGUGGAAUGCGCAGAUAUCAGGAGGAACACCAAUUGCGAAGGCAGCUCGCUGGGACGUUACUGACGCUGAGACGCGAAAGCGUGGGGAGCAAACAGG